GUUAUGUAAACGUUUGGCUUAUUUGCAUAUUUGGAGCUUCUGUUUGCAAGUCUUAGAGUUGUAUAAUUCAAGGGUCCAUUGAAGACUUAGGUUAUUAUGUGGACCAUUCCUGGGGUUCUUUUAGAUUUCUAUAAGAAUUUAGUGUGGUGAGAUAAACGAUAUUCUUUUAUCCUUAGCUAGAGAUUUUAUAUUUAAAUUUGUGAAUCAUUAAAUCUUUGAUGGCACAAUCAAAAAGAUCAAAGAUGGAAACGUUGUCGGCAAGCAAUUUCUAACAUAUUUCCAAUGGAAAAUAUUCCAUUUGGAAGUUUCCUUUGCAUUAUGAAUUUGAAUUUGUUGGAUCAAUAAGAAACCAUAAGACAAAUAAGAAAACCCAACAGUGUUCUUAUUUUUUAAGAGAAUGGUCAAGCUGCAGGCGGGAGAACGGGGUAAAGGAAUCAAAGCUUUAGUUUCUUAGAGCGACAAAAGAGAAAUAUCCUUAUAGGGGAUAAUUUUAGUAAAUAAAGGUCUUUCUAAGAGAAGAUGAAAGCCUAAGGCAAAGUUCUCUAAUGAUUAACUUCUUAUAAAUACAAAGCCAUAACACCUGUAUGAGAGUAUGCAUGUGCUGAACUUCUAAACAUAUUGAAAUAUGUUAGCUUUAUAUGAUUAUUGCUAAUACACAAAUCUCCAUGAUCCUUGCUAAUACACAAAUCUCCUCUUUUAAAGUUUCACUGUGAUAAUUCAUGGCUGUCGUGUUCAACAACAACUGCCUUAUUGACCUUGUUUCUCAGCUUUCUCUCUCUUUCUCAGAAACUCCAUGGACAAUUUAACUCACCUAUUAAAUCAAUCUCAAAAUCAUCAAGAUUUUGUGUUUUUUCUUGAAGACUACUGAAGAGGAUUGAGAGAGAUCUAAACCGAAUCUUCGCCUGGAGCAUCAUAGGUUAAUUUCUUUGAUAUUUAUGGACGCAAAUUAAAUACAUCAGAUGUUGGCGUAUCUUGUAAUGGAGUAGGUACAUUCUUCCUGAAGAGUAGCAAAGGGUUCUCAAUUAAAGGAUAACAAUUUUUGACCUUUAUUGAGGAUCCACAGACACCCGAAAAUGACAUAGGAUAGAGCUCCUUCAAUUAUUUUUAGUCAAGUGAUGCGGCUAGUGAAUUCAUUUCGUCCAUGGAUGCAAGGAGAUCACGUGAUGAUAAUGAUCAUAAUGACAUUCUUUGAUUUUGUUGCAUUUGUCUUGGAUAUUCAAUUAUGGUGAUGUAAUUGUGUGAUUGGAGUGGAUCUUAGAAUAUUGAAUUUUUUGUGUUUAAAUUUGAUUUUGGAGUUUGAACUUUGAAGAUAUUAGUUAAUGUUGAAAA
This is a long non-coding RNA of Capsicum annuum, 1329 nucleotides long. RefSeq lists it as uncharacterized. The transcript is spliced from 5 exons. Lineage: Eukaryota; Viridiplantae; Streptophyta; Magnoliopsida; Solanales; Solanaceae. The record is from RefSeq and is a predicted model, not a curated record.